CUCGGCUCUGAAGGCGCCGGGGGCCCUGCAGAGCCUGGCCACCAUCAGCACCAUCCCCGUGCCCACCUCGCUGGCCCUGGCAGCCUCCAGCAAGCCCACGGCCAUCCAGCAGCUGCUGAGCAACGGGGGACUGGCCAAACUGGCCAGCAGCCUCCCGGGGCUGGCCCACAUCUCCAGCCAGAGCUCAGGGCUGAAGGCCCCCACCACCAUCACGGUGACGCUGCGGGGCCAGCCCGGCCGCGUGGGCAGCCUGAGCCAGCUGCAGCCACCGCUGGAGGAGCAGCAACAGGGCCCCCAGUGACCACCACGAGCCCAGGGUGGCACCAGGGGACACCUGGGGUGGCCACCAGGACCCUCUGACCCCUGUCCCUUCUCCACAGUGACCACCACAAGCCCAGGGUGACCACCAGGAGCCCAGGGUGGCCACCAGGAGCCCAGGGGUGGCUCCAUGUCCCUCCAGGCACCUCCAGGACCCCCAGCCCAGCCCGGGGACCCUCGGGGACACCUUGGGGACAACGCUGGGACCCCCCCAGAAUUCCUGGG
This is a non-coding RNA of Cyanistes caeruleus (blue tit), 543 nucleotides long. Lineage: Eukaryota; Metazoa; Chordata; Aves; Passeriformes; Paridae. The record is from RefSeq and is a predicted model, not a curated record.